Molecule: transfer RNA, 84 nt
Filed under: Solirubrobacterales bacterium
Lineage: Bacteria; Bacillati; Actinomycetota; Thermoleophilia; Solirubrobacterales
Also listed under: 2 other names
Description: tRNA-Leu
Rfam family: tRNA
About the family: Transfer RNA (tRNA) molecules are approximately 80 nucleotides in length. Their secondary structure includes four short double-helical elements and three loops (D, anti-codon, and T loops).
Source: RNAcentral
GCGGCGGUGGCGGAACUGGUAUACGCGAUGGAUUCAAAAUCCAUUGCUCGCAAGGGCAUGUGGGUUCGAUUCCCACCCGCCGCA